UGAGGGAGAGUAACACAAAAGUCUGGCCGAUGUUGACAUGACACAUCAGAGGACGCCCAUUUUUCUAACUCUUGACAGAAUCCAGGAAAUGCCCAGGCAUCCUGGGGAGGAGAGAGCUGGAAGAACCCUGUUCCUGGGUGACCAAGCAGCCACCUAGAGACAUCUCACCUAAAAACAAUCUCCACAGGACAUGAGAAGAAGAGUUAUUUCCCUACCUGUCAGCAGGCAGAAAGCAUAAUCAAGAAGGAAAGUUCACAGCGGCUGAUUGAAGAAUAACUCCUUAGAAAUGAAUAAUAAACACCUGACAAGCCUGCUGUCUCCAAAGCAAGACAUCCCCUGACAUUCAGUAUUAAUG
Long non-coding RNA from Leptonychotes weddellii (Weddell seal), 355 nucleotides. RefSeq lists it as uncharacterized. NCBI's taxonomy places the organism in Eukaryota, Metazoa, Chordata, Mammalia, Carnivora, Phocidae. The record is from RefSeq and is a predicted model, not a curated record.